Nylanderia fulva is the source of this 964-nucleotide long non-coding RNA. RefSeq lists it as uncharacterized. The record is from RefSeq and is a predicted model, not a curated record. NCBI's taxonomy places the organism in Eukaryota, Metazoa, Arthropoda, Insecta, Hymenoptera, Formicidae.
CUGUGCGUACGUACCGUCUAAGAUUACUCACCGGAUGCUACGUGCGCCGCUCGACACCGCCGAUUGCGCAAUUGCAUCGUUCAGCGCAUAUAUUGUACGUGCAACGAAGUAUACACUCUCGCUCGAAUAGUCAUUGUCGUCGUCGUCGUCGUCGUCGUCAACCAUCAUCACUGUCGUUGUCGACGUUGUUGUCGCGAGUUCUCGCGAUCGUGACUCAAUCGCAAAGGCAUGUAUGGCUAAUUGGUCGUUUGCAUGAGAAAAAGCGGUUUCCGGUGGUGCCACACGGCCGUGCGAAUCGAAUCCAGUACUCGGUGAAUGGAGACUAGCAAGGCCUUCCUCCGAUGCGCUCAUGCGUGGACGACCUCGUGCGAGAUUCCGUGUUCUAAGUUACACAACGUGAGAUGGAAGCAGAGAGACGUAGGAAGUGGAUAAAAGAGCACGUAUAGAGGGACUGAGAGAGCGAAGGAAGUCAAGUGAUCUGAGCGCAUAUACAAGAAGAACGAUGAAUUCGGAGCAGCCGAAUCGCGCGAGGACGUAAGUACGAGUUGGUAUAGUCGUUGCAGAGAAUUGUGCAGAGUCGACGGUUGCAAAACAGGAAAACACGUUACGCGUAUGACGCUAAUGUGAUUUGCGGAACGCGGUAGAUGGAGGAGAAGUGAAAGGGGGCCAGAGAGACGUACCGAGGGAAUCAGGUAGCACGACGGAGAAACGAGACGGCGAAUUCGCGCCAUUGUGUCGUCCUGUUUACGUCUGAGAGAAACGUCUCUCAGCAAAAAAAAGACGCGAGCGUAGGUGAUCUCGACGCAACGUCCGAAUUUUCCAGCCGACUACUCCAUCAAAGACGCCACAUUGUCUUCAAGAGACGCAGCGGUACAGAAAUAGCGCACAAGAGAGACAGCAGAUUGUGCAAUCGCAACUUUUGCUGUGUUUCAUUAUACAUGCUACUUUUUUAUAUUUAAUUACU